This 835-nucleotide ribosomal RNA is filed under the name Yosiokobayasia kusanaginensis. RNAcentral's name for it is "partial large subunit ribosomal RNA". It matches the Rfam family "Eukaryotic large subunit ribosomal RNA", at positions 74 to 938 of the family's 3401-position model. The record is from RNAcentral. Lineage: Eukaryota; Fungi; Ascomycota; Sordariomycetes; Hypocreales; Clavicipitaceae.
AUUGCCCCAGUAACGGCGAGUGAAGCGGCAACAGCUCAAAUUUGAAAUCUGGCCCCCAGGGCCCGAGUUGUAAUUUGCAGAGGAUGCUUUUGGCGAGGUGCCUUCCGAGUUCCCUGGAACGGGACGCCAUAGAGGGUGAGAGCCCCGUCUGGUUGGAUGCCGAGCCUCUGUAAAGCUCCUUCGACGAGUCGAGUAGUUUGGGAAUGCUGCUCUAAAUGGGAGGUAUAUGUCUUCUAAAGCUAAAUAUUGGCCAGAGACCGAUAGCGCACAAGUAGAGUGAUCGAAAGAUGAAAAGCACUUUGAAAAGAGGGUUAAAUAGUACGUGAAAUUGUUGAAAGGGAAGCGCUUAUGACCAGACUUGGGCCCGGUGAAUCAUCCAGCGUUCUCGCUGGUGCACUUUGCCGGGCUCAGGCCAGCAUCAGUUUGCCUCGGGGGAUAAAGGCUCCGGGAACGUGGCUCCUCCGGGAGUGUUAUAGCCCGCUGCGCAAUACCCUGGGGCGGACUGAGGUUCGCGCAUCUUGCAAGGAUGCUGGCGUAAUGGUCAUCAGCGACCCGUCUUGAAACACGGACCAAGGAGUCGUCUUCGUAUGCGAGUGUUCGGGUGUAAAACCCCUACGCGGAAUGAAAGUGAACGCAGGUGAGAGCUUCGGCGCAUCAUCGACCGAUCCUGAUGUUCUCGGAUGGAUUUGAGUAAGAGCAUACGGGGCCGGACCCGAAAGAAGGUGAACUAUGCCUGUAUAGGGUGAAGCCAGAGGAAACUCUGGUGGAGGCUCGCAGCGGUUCUGACGUGCAAAUCGAUCGUCAAAUAUGGGCAUGGGGGCGAAAGACUAAUCGA